GACGAACGCUGGCGGCGUGCUUAACACAUGCAAGUCGAGCGGUAAGGCCCUUUCGGGGGUACGACGAGCGGCGAACGGGUGAGUAACACGUGGGUGACCUGCCCUCAGCUCUGGGAUAAGCCUGGGAAACCGGGUCUAAUACUGGAUAUGACUCCAUGACGCAUGUUGUGGGGUGGAAAGCCUUGUGCGGCUGAGGAUGGGCCCGCGGCCUAUCAGCUUGUUGGUGGGGUGAGGCCUACCAAGGCGACGACGGGUAGCCGGCCUGAGAGGGCGACCGGCCACAC
This 284-nucleotide ribosomal RNA is filed under the name uncultured bacterium. RNAcentral describes it as "partial 16S ribosomal RNA". It matches the Rfam family "Bacterial small subunit ribosomal RNA", at positions 28 to 313 of the family's 1533-position model. The record is from RNAcentral.